CUUCCCAAGCCAAACCAAUGGCUUUCUUAAGGGAGAACAGAGGGAAUGGGGAGGAGUGGCAUUAGCAGUGAUGCUGCCAGGGCAGUUGGGCAAUGAUGGCACAGUCGAAGUGGCCGGAUGAUGGAGGCACAACUGAGGUAGUUGGCGGCUCGAUCGCCUAUAGGGAAGCCAAAAGAGAGAGGGAGGAAAGGGACAAUGCCCCUUGCCACCUUGGUGGCCACACCCGAGGCCAAAAAUAGAAACAAGGAGAUGAGACUCAUCGGAGAUGGCAGCGGUGAUAGGGCUCAACUGGAUGAAGUAGAUUCCAAUAGAAAAAAGGGAUGGAGAUCACAAGAUAGGAGAAAAACAGAACAUAGAGAGUUUGGAGAGGAAAAGAAGGAGGUUUUGGGGGUGGCAACACUUAGCACGAUAGCAUAACAGCCAUCAGAGGUGAAGAAGAAGAGGGUG
This 447-nucleotide long non-coding RNA is filed under the name Elaeis guineensis (African oil palm). Its description in RNAcentral is "long non-coding RNA (EGUI_LNC004747)". Lineage: Eukaryota; Viridiplantae; Streptophyta; Magnoliopsida; Arecales; Arecaceae. The record is from RNAcentral.